GUAGGUGGCAAGCGUUGUCCGGAAUUAUUGGGCGUAAAGCGCGCGCAGGCGGGGUCCUUUAAGUCUGAUGUGAAAGCCCACGGGCUCAACCGUGGAGGGUCAUUGGAAACUGGGGGACUUGAGUACAGAAGAGGAAAGCGGAAUUCCAAGUGUAGCGGUGAAAUGCGUAGAGAUUUGGAGGGACACCAGUGGCGAAGGCGGCUUUCUGGUCUGUAACUGACGCUGAGGCGCGAAAGCGUGGGGAGCAAACAGGAUUAGAUACCCUGGUAGUCCACGCCGUAAACGAUGAGUGCUAAGUGUUAGGGGGUUUCCGCCCCUUAGUGCUGCAGCUAACGCAUUAAGCACUCCGCCUGGGGAGUACGGCCGCAAAGGCUG
Molecule: ribosomal RNA, 375 nt
Filed under: uncultured organism
Description: partial 16S ribosomal RNA
Rfam family: Bacterial small subunit ribosomal RNA
Source: RNAcentral